UCUGUAUGAAACACAAAGAUGGGAUGUUAUGUUCAUCUCCCUCCCCCAAUUUCUUUCACAGCUGCUCUCUGAAGAAGAAACAAGGAGAUAUUGUUCAUGUGUGUGUGUGAGAGAGAGGGAAAGACAAAGUGUAUUUCAUUCAAAACAUCCUUUUUGCUGUGUGGAUUUUCUAAUUUAAUUUUCUCAGGCAGAAUGCACUUUUAAGUUCCAGUAAGAAGAGUUGUGACAUGUGUUCAAACAUCUGUUAUUUAUUUUUCAUUUUUUGUGUAAAUGAAAAAACAACAAACCCCGUUUCCCGAAAAUAGAGCCUGAAUUCCACCCAUGUGGUCCCUGGCCUGGAAUGUGACACUAGCCACAGAGUGAAGGUUAGGAAAGAGAGUUGGCUUUCUAUGUGAUCCUGGGCAAGCCACCCACUCCUCAGAGCUUCAGUCUCCCCACUGUGAAGGACAGACUUAUCAUUUCUAUCUCCACCAGAGAUAGGUGUGUAGGGCUAAAAGCUGAGAACGCCGAAGACUUCUUCUGCAGUUCCUCUCUCUGUGCCUUGGAUGACCCUCCCAGCUACAAAUUCUAGGCAGUCUGUUCUGCUCGGGCACGUGUUACUUCAUUCUCAAGCCCAUCACACCAUGCAGACAUCACCACAAGGCCCACCAUCUCCUUCUGGAGACUAGCACAUCCUUCAGGGUCAAGGAACUGGUUUUGGAUCCAGAGGAACAAUGCUCCUCGUGUUUGGAAUUCUACAGAAGAGAGUGUUCCUGUGACCUGGCUUCCAUCUUGGACUCAGACACCAAGGCCUGGAUUCACCACACUCCAUCACUGCAGCGGGAGCUCAAGGAGUCUCAGGUCAAAGCUCAACAUUUAUUGCAUGAAGCACUUUGAAAAGCUUUUGUUAUCAAAAGUUUUCCCUUGAGCCUUGGAGAGGAUUACCAAGUAAUGCUUUCUUCCUGCAGCUUAUUUCUUAGGAAAUUACCUCCAGGCCUGCCAAAGUCACAAAGAGCUGUGGGAUUUCACUCUUGUCUUUGCACAUGGAACACUUGGACAUCCCUCAUGAUUUUUUCCACUCCUAUUUACUGAAGAGAAAACAGAAGACCUGGGAAAGAUCUGGGCUGCUUGCCUCUGGUCUCUUGUCUGCCUUGCUGGCAAGCAUCCAGGUGACAGUUCCAGGAAUGAGUGGGGACUGUGAACAGAUCCAUACCUGCUUCUUCAGUUCAGUUCAGUUCAGCUUUCAAGAAGCAAGUGGUCACAUUGGGGAAUCCCACAUGCCAAGGAACUGCAGAAGGGCCCUAGGAGCUAAGAACAGCCUCUAGCCAACAGCCAGCAAGAAACUGAAGCUCUGGAGCAUGUGGCCUCAGGAACUAGGCUCUGCGGACAACCCGAGAGAAUUUUGGAAGUGGACCCUUCCUCAGCAGAGCCUCCAGUGAGAUUCAGCCCCAGCUGACACCUUUUCUUUAAUUGAAGUUAAUAUACAAUGUUAAUAGUUAAUAUAUAAUGUUUUAAUUUCUGCUGUACAGCAAAGUGACUCAGUUAUACCAGAUAACACCUUGAUUAGUUUUAUGAGACCCUAAGUAGUAGACUCAGAUAAGCUUUGCUGGGAUUCCUGACCCAUAGAAGCUGAGAUAAAACACAUGUGUUUUAGUUACUUAUUCUUCUGGCUACACCACGUGGCAUGUGGGAUCUUAGUUCCCUGACCAGGGAUGGAACCUGUGCCCCCUGCAGAGGAAGCUCACAGUCCCCGGACCACCAGGGAAGUCCCUUAUGUGUUGUUUUAAACCCCUGAGUUUGUAGUAAUUUGUUAUGCAACAUUAGAAAACCAUCACACCUCCCCCCCGCUGUCAGAAAUGUCAAGUUCUGGGAAGGGGCUGACAGAUGGGGGAAUGUCUCCAGCUUCCACAUCCAUUCAUUCAGCAAAUAUUUAUUGAGCAUUUAUGAUAUACGAGGCACAGUUUUAGAUACAUUAGUAAACAAAAGAAAAUCCCUGCUCUCAAAGCUUAUACUCUAGUCAAGGAAUAAAAAUAUUAAAUUCAUAAAUAAUUGUAUAUAGUAUGUUAUUCAGUGAUGAGAACUCUAGAAAGGAUAGAGGGGCUGGGGAUGCUAGGGAGUAGGUUGAAGUCUUUCAUAGGAUCCUCAGGGUAGGCCCAAUGAAAGGGCAAAAACUUGAAAGGAAAUAUCACACAAGAAACUCCAGGUAUCAUCCAUGCGUACGACUUCAAGCACAGGUUCAAGGUCUCAUCCUGCCCUGGGGGAUCAUGGCGUCAUAACUGCCUUUUUCGACCUCUUCUCCCACCUCCACCCUCCAUGCCCAGGUCCACCCUGCAUCCCUACCUUCUAGCCUUCUGCUGUCCUCCAAACCCACCUACCAAGAAUCCUCACUCUUCAUUGUUUCCCUGACAAAAUACUUCUCCCCCACAUUCAGCUCAAUGGCCUCCUCCCCUGAAGCCUCCCCUGGUGCCUUCACCCCACUCCCAGCAGAAAGUCCGCUCCUCCUGCACAUGCCCUCCAGCUUUGCUUAUGGCUUAUCCUGAGCUUCAACUUUCCACACGUGUUACAGCUGGCAGCCUGUGUCUCUUGGAGAGACUGUGGAAUGCGGGGGAUGGGGCUUGUUAUCACUGAGCUUCCAGGCUCUAGCAUAUUACAGUUGGAAUUUGUUGAAGAAAAAAAUUAGUUAGAUGGGACUUCACUGGCAAUCUAGUGGUUAAGACUCUAUGCUUCUAAUGCAAGGGGCACAGGUUUGAUCCCUGCUCAGGGAACUAAGAUAACACAUGCUAUGCAGUGCAGCCAAGAAAAUAUUUUUUAAGUUAGUUGGAGAUCAGUCCUCUGUGGGUUUUUUCCUUUCUCUUUAAAGUCCUUAGAGGAGGUUUAUAUCAUUCUUUAUUUGGUUUGUUACUGAGAGAGUAUUUGGACAGAGUAUUAUUCAUUUUCCAAAUUCUACUUUUGAGCCAACUUCUUCCACAGCAUAGCCUGACCCAGCUCACAGAAUUGUACACAUGUUCAAGACACAGCCUUGGACACUAAAACAGGUAAUUCAUGCAGCCACAUGUGUCUUUUCCAGAGAGGUUCAGUUCAGUCACUCAGUUGUGUCCGACUCUUUGUGACCCCAUGGACUGCAGCACGCCAGACCUCCCUGUCCAUCACCAACUCCCAGAGUUUACUCAAACUCAU
Bubalus bubalis (water buffalo) is the source of this 3156-nucleotide long non-coding RNA. RefSeq lists it as uncharacterized. NCBI's taxonomy places the organism in Eukaryota, Metazoa, Chordata, Mammalia, Artiodactyla, Bovidae. The transcript is spliced from 5 exons. The record is from RefSeq and is a predicted model, not a curated record.